RNAcentral lists this ribosomal RNA (998 nucleotides) under uncultured bacterium. RNAcentral's name for it is "bacterial SSU rRNA". It matches the Rfam family "Bacterial small subunit ribosomal RNA", at positions 356 to 1376 of the family's 1533-position model. The record is from RNAcentral.
GGGGAAUAUUGGGCAAUGGGCGAAAGCCUGACCCAGCAACGCCGCGUGAAGGAAGAAGGCUUUCGGGUUGUAAACUUCUUUUAUCAGGGACGAAGGAUGUGACGGUACCUGAUGAAUAAGCCACGGCUAACUACGUGCCAGCAGCCGCGGUAAUACGUAGGUGGCAAGCGUUGUCCGGAUUUACUGGGUGUAAAGGGCGCGCAGGCGGGAGAGCAAGUCAGAUGUGAAAUCUAUGGGCUUAACCCAUAAACUGCAUUUGAAACUGUUUUUCUUGAGUGAUGGAGAGGCAAGCGGAAUUCCUAGUGUAGCGGUGAAAUGCGUAGAUAUUAGGAGGAACACCAGUGGCGAAGGCGGCUUGCUGGACAUUAACUGACGCUGAGGCGCGAAAGCGUGGGGAGCAAACAGGAUUAGAUACCCUGGUAGUCCACGCUGUAAACGAUGAUUACUAGGUGUUGGAGGAUUGACCCCUUCAGUGCCGCAGUUAACACAAUAAGUAAUCCACCUGGGGAGUACGACCGCAAGGUUGAAACUCAAAGGAAUUGACGGGGGCCCGCACAAGCAGUGGAGUAUGUGGUUUAAUUCGACGCAACGCGAAGAACCUUACCAAGUCUUGACAUCCUGCGACGAUGCUGGAAACAGUAUUUUCCUUCGGGACGCAGAGACAGGUGGUGCAUGGUUGUCGUCAGCUCGUGUCGUGAGAUGUUGGGUUAAGUCCCGCAACGAGCGCAACCCUUACUGUCAGUUACUACGCAAGAGGACUCUGGCAGGACUGCCGUUGACAAAACGGAGGAAGGUGGGGAUGACGUCAAAUCAUCAUGCCCUUUAUGACUUGGGCUACACACGUACUACAAUGGCGUUAAACAAAGAGAAGCAAGACCGCGAGGUGGAGCAAAACUCAGAAACAACGUCCCAGUUCGGACUGCAGGCUGCAACUCGCCUGCACGAAGUCGGAAUUGCUAGUAAUCGCAGAUCAGAAUGCUGCGGUGAAUACGUUCCCG